GUUCUAAUCAGUGGUAGCGCGUUACACGGCCUUGCACUUGUAUCUUGUUUCGUGAGUGUCACUUAGAAAUUAGUUCAUAUCUCACAGUGGCGGCCCCACCACCACACUCACUAGGUGAAUCCUCAAAGAGUGGGUUGUGACCCCCACCCCUACAAUAAUUGUCAUCGGAUUCAUUAAGAGGUAUUUUUUUAUACCAAAAAUACACAUAUAUAAAUACCUCAACCUUAAUAUUGC
Molecule: long non-coding RNA, 234 nt
Filed under: Glycine max (soybean)
Lineage: Eukaryota; Viridiplantae; Streptophyta; Magnoliopsida; Fabales; Fabaceae
Description: long non-coding RNA (GMAX_LNC003251)
Source: RNAcentral